This 609-nucleotide ribosomal RNA is filed under the name Sordariomycetes sp. genotype 499. RNAcentral describes it as "eukaryotic LSU rRNA". It matches the Rfam family "Eukaryotic large subunit ribosomal RNA", at positions 1 to 561 of the family's 3401-position model. The record is from RNAcentral. Lineage: Eukaryota; Fungi; Ascomycota; Sordariomycetes.
UCGCAACCGGGAGCGCGGCGCGGCCACUGCCGUAAAACGCCCAACUUCUCCAAGAGUUGACCUCGAAUCAGGUAGGACUACCCGCUGAACUUAAGCAUAUCAAUAAGCGGAGGAAAAGAAACCAACAGGGAUUGCCCCAGUAACGGCGAGUGAAGCGGCAACAGCUCAAAUUUGAAAUCUGGCCCCCCGGGGCCCGAGUUGUAAUUUGCAGAGGAUGCUUUUGGCGAGGCGCCUUCCGAGUUCCCUGGAACGGGACGCCACAGAGGGUGAGAGCCCCGUCUGGUCGGAUGCCGAGCCUCUGUAAAGCUCCUUCGACGAGUCGAGUAGUUUGGGAAUGCUGCUCUAAAUGGGAGGUAUAUGUCUUCUAAAGCUAAAUAUUGGCCAGAGACCGAUAGCGCACAAGUAGAGUGAUCGAAAGAUGAAAAGCACUUUGAAAAGAGGGUUAAAUAGUACGUGAAAUUGUUGAAAGGGAAGCGCUCAUGACCAGACUUGGGCCCGGUGAAUCAUCCAGCGUUCUCGCUGGUGCACUUUGCCGGGCUCAGGCCAGCAUCAGUUUGCCCCGGGGGAUAAAGGCUCUGGGAAUGUGGCUCCUCCGGGAGUGUUAUAGCC